This 450-nucleotide ribosomal RNA is filed under the name uncultured bacterium. RNAcentral's name for it is "bacterial SSU rRNA". It matches the Rfam family "Bacterial small subunit ribosomal RNA", at positions 8 to 458 of the family's 1533-position model. The record is from RNAcentral.
AGAGUUUGAUCCUGGCUCAGAUUGAACGCUGGCGGCAUGCUUUACACAUGCAAGUCGAACGGCAGCACGGGUGCUUGCACCUGGUGGCGAGUGGCGAACGGGUGAGUAAUGCACCGGAACGUACCCAGUAAUGGGGGAUAACACAUCGAAAGAUGUGCUAAUACCGCAUACGCCCUGAGGGGGAAGGCGGGGGAUCGUAAGACCUCGCGUUAUUGGAGCGGCCGAUGCCGGAUUAGCUAGUUGGUGAGGUAAGAGCUCACCAAGGCGACGAUCCGUAGCUGGUCUGAGAGAACGACCAGCCACACUGGGACUGAGACACGGCCCAGACUCCUACGGGAGGCAGCAGUGGGGAAUUUUGGACAAUGGGCGCAAGCCUGAUCCAGCCAUGCCGCGUGAGUGAAGAAGGCCUUCGGGUUGUAAAGCUCUUUCGCAAGGAAAGAAAACUUAUCU